UACAGAGGUCCCAAGCGUUGUUCGGAUUCACUGGGCGUAAAGGGUGCGUAGGUGGCCAGAUAAGUUUGAUGUGAAAUCUCCGGGCUUAACCCGGAAAAUGCAUUGAAUACUAUUUGGCCGGAGGGUUGGAGGGGGGACUGGAAUACUUGGUGUAGCAGUGAAAUGCGUAGAUAUCAAGUGGAACACCAGUGGCGAAGGCGAGUCCCUGGACAACUCCUGACACUGAGGCACGAAAGCUAGGGGAGCAAACAGG
RNAcentral lists this ribosomal RNA (253 nucleotides) under uncultured bacterium. RNAcentral describes it as "partial 16S ribosomal RNA". It matches the Rfam family "Bacterial small subunit ribosomal RNA", at positions 524 to 776 of the family's 1533-position model. The record is from RNAcentral.